AUUGAACGCUGGCGGCAUGCCUUACACAUGCAAGUCGAACGGUAACAGGUCUUCGGAUGCUGACGAGUGGCGAACGGGUGAGUAAUACAUCGGAACGUGCCUAGUAGUGGGGGAUAACUACUCGAAAGAGUGGCUAAUACCGCAUGAGAUCUACGGAUGAAAGCAGGGGAUCGCAAGACCUUGUGCUACUAGAGCGGCCGAUGGCAGAUUAGGUAGUUGGUGGGAUAAAGGCUUACCAAGCCGACGAUCUGUAGCUGGUCUGAGAGGACGAUCAGCCACACUGGGACGGAGACACGGCCCAGACUCCUACGGGAGGCAGCAGUGGGGAAUUUUGGACAAUGGGCGAAAGCCUGACCCAGCAAUGCCGCGUGCAGGAUGAAGGCCUUCGGGUUGUAAACUGCUUUUGUACGGAACGAAAAGCCCCGGGUUAAUACCCUGGGGUCAUGACGGUACCGUAAGAAUAAGCACCGGCUAACUACGUGCCAGCAGCCGCAGUAA
Molecule: ribosomal RNA, 498 nt
Filed under: uncultured bacterium
Lineage: Bacteria
Description: partial 16S ribosomal RNA
Rfam family: Bacterial small subunit ribosomal RNA
Source: RNAcentral